GUGGGGAAUUUUGGACAAUGGGCGCAAGCCUGAUCCAGCAAUGCCGCGUGCAGGAAGAAGGCCUUCGGGUUGUAAACUGCUUUUGUACGGAACGAAACGGUCCUGGCUAAUAUCCGGGGCUAAUGACGGUACCGUAAGAAUAAGCACCGGCUAACUACGUGCCAGCAGCCGCGGUAAUACGUAGGGUGCGAGCGUUAAUCGGAAUUACUGGGCGUAAAGCGUGCGCAGGCGGUUUUGUAAGACAGGCGUGAAAUCCCCGGGCUCAACCUGGGAAUUGCGCUUGUGACUGCAAGGCUGGAGUGCGGCAGAGGGGGAUGGAAUUCCGCGUGUAGCAGUGAAAUGCGUAGAUAUGCGGAGGAACACCGAUGGCGAAGGCAAUCCCCUGGGCCUGCACUGACGCUCAUGCACGAAAGCGUGGGGAGCAAACAGGAUUAGAAACCCCGGUAGUCC
RNAcentral lists this ribosomal RNA (450 nucleotides) under uncultured bacterium. RNAcentral's name for it is "partial 16S ribosomal RNA". It matches the Rfam family "Bacterial small subunit ribosomal RNA", at positions 354 to 796 of the family's 1533-position model. The record is from RNAcentral.